UCCCUGGUGGCUCAGAUGGUAAAGAAUCUGCCUGCAAUGCAGGAGACCUGGGUUCGAUCCCUGGGCUGGGAA
This 72-nucleotide transfer RNA is filed under the name Muntiacus reevesi (Reeves' muntjac). It matches the Rfam family "tRNA". From Rfam's summary of the family: Transfer RNA (tRNA) molecules are approximately 80 nucleotides in length. Their secondary structure includes four short double-helical elements and three loops (D, anti-codon, and T loops). Lineage: Eukaryota; Metazoa; Chordata; Mammalia; Artiodactyla; Cervidae. The record is from Rfam by way of RNAcentral. RNAcentral also lists the same sequence under 2 other names.